AAAUAGUAAGCACUUAAUAAAUGACACCUAUUACAAUGGCAUCUUUAAUUCCCAUAGAAAACAUUUUAUUACUUUAAUCUUUCUAAGGCUGUAGCUGCUUGCAAAGGUUGUUAAGUUUCCUGUGCUACAUGAAUCACCAAUAUCUGAGUAGUUCAUGUGCUCUCAUGUAUUGUAUAAUGGACAAUGGCAUCCCAGUUGCAGCACAAUAAGAAUGUAUAUCACAUCCAGUUUAAAUUGAGUGUUCCAAGUAUGUUAAGAUAUGGAAUGGGAGUUGUCAAUUAAAUGGAGCUAUCACUCCAUUAUCAACCAAGAUUCCAAUGCAUAUGCUAACGUCAAUGAGUUAGAGAUUCCAGAGUGAGACAGUUAAUAGACCUGUGAGUUUCUCCCUGCUCUCCUAUAAUUGAGCUUUGAGGCCUUAUGCUGAACAGAAGUUAUCUAGGUGGAAUGGAAUAAAUCCCCAGGGUUUCUAACCAAGCCCAAGUCUAACCCAGCUGCAGGAAAGCUCAUUUAACUUGCAGACCUUUGCAUCAGCUUCUCACAAGCUCCUCCUUCCUGAGGAUUGUGUUCUCAGCAUUCAUCUCUCACCCUCACCAUGGAACCGUACUCUGAUGAGCAUCUAAGAAACACAGAAACUCAGAAAUGAAACCAUGUGGCUCUGGCACUGCUGACAUAGAAUCACUGAUAUUUCAAAUAUCAGACUUCUCAAAAAGAAAAGUUUGCCUUUUGGAUAGAGCAUGGGAAAAUCUGAACUAAACAAACAGGGUACAAUGAGGAGUCAGGAGUCUGCAACAUGGAAGAGAGCUCUCACCAGAAUCCGAUCAUGCUGGCACCCUAAUUUCAAAUUUCCAGCCUCCAGAACUGCUCCAAGAAAUGGAAUUUUAUUAAAAGAUGGAAGAGGAGGAUAUUUGAGAGAAGGGGAACUACCUAAUACUGAAAACUAAUACAGUCCAGGAUACAUAGAAGAUGAUCAAUAACACUUAUUCAAUCUAAAUUACCCUAUCAGCAAGUGGAGAAUUCUCUCUCGGGAGUGCUGUUUUCUUUCCUGCCAGUCAGCUCUGUCAGGUUGAAUAGAAAGCGAUAAAUAAAGAGGAAAAGAAUUCAUUUUGUGCCCUUGCUGCACUGUUGCUUUUUCCUGCUGCACCACCAGUAAUAGAAAACUAGGCUGUGAGCAUUUCAGUGCUAAUGCACUCCAGUGGCUUUUCUGCCUUGGCCUUCUAGCUUUCUCCUCAUUGCAUCACACUACUGAUUGGAGAAAAAUAUGCCAGUCUGUGCUGUGUUUCCCCAAACAACUUUUUUAUUUUGCAGGGUAGAAAGAACUGAUGAUAAUGGGCUCUAUAAAAAAGGGAUAAACAAAGGCAUUUUCAUCAAGGGCCUUCUUUCUAAAAGGCUUUCCAAAUAGCCUAUUUUAAAAAAUGAACAAACACCCAUAAACCCAUAGAACAAUAGUACACUAGACAUACAUUUAAAGAGCAUGUCUCCAUUAAAAACAGCUAUGUCAGAAACAGGCACCUGAGUUUCUGGGGAAAUAUACAUGAUAGAAAAAUCUUAAACCUGGCCAAGUUCUCCAAGUUGAUCUUCUUUGUUCUUGUAGGAUUUGAUGACAUUCAACCAUGUUCAUCUACUUUUCCAUCUUGUUCUACAGGUGGACUAUCUAUUUAUAUAUUUUUAAAAGACAGCCAGGAAAAAUUGAUUGAUUAAGAAAGGUUUUCUUAACCUUUAUUUGUGGUAAGAACAUUUAAGAUCUCUCUUAGAAAAUUUCAAGUAAAAACACAGUAUUGUUAACUCCAGUCACCAUAUUGUAUAUUAAAUUUAGAUCCCUAGAACUUACUCGUAUAUUAGAUUUAGAUCCCCAGAAUGUACUCAUCUUAUAACUGAAAGUUUAUACACUUUGACCAAUAUCUCCUUAUUUCCCCCACUCCCUUACCCCUGGCAAACACCAUGCUACUUUCUAUUUCUAUGUGUUUACCUUUUUUAGGUUCCCUAUAUAAGUGAUACCAUAUAGUGUUUGUUUUUCUGAUUUUUUUUAAAUGAAAGAGCUAGGGCCAACUUCCAUUCUUUGAUGUAAAGAUUAAAAACGGUGGAUAUAUUGUGGUAUGACCUAAGGCAUAGGCAGGGCUGCAAGCUAGAGGUGCCCAUGUGAUCAAGGACAAUGGUGCACAGGUCACUAGUCAUCACUAUUUCCUGUCAUCGGUGGGACUGCAAACUAGCACAUUUUUAGUGACAUUACUCAUAAGCACACUGUGGUUGUUUAAAUUGGUAGGGAUGAUAAUGAGAGUAAUUUGUGGGUAAUUAAGUCUCUCCUUUCCACCUGACAGUUAUGCAAACUAGAAGGAGAUGAACAGCAUAGUUAUGUGUUUCUUCAACUAAGAAACAUUUCAUAAGAAUUUUGAGUAAUGUGGGUAGGUGAUUAAAAUGUUAAAGUGGAAAAAGUUAGAAACUGUUAUGUUUUUAAAAAAGUUUUAUUGAGGUGUUAUUUACAUACCAUAAAGUUCACCCAUUUUAAGCAUACAAUUCAGUGAAUUUUAGUAUAUUUACAGAGUUGUACAAUCAUCACAAUCUAGUUUUAGAACAUUUCCAUUAUUCAAAAAAAAGUCAUUUGUGUCCAUUUACAGUUACUCCCGAUUUCCACCUCCAGUCCUAGGCAGCCACUAAUCUACUUUCUGUCUCUAUAUACGGUUUUUAUCUUUCCGGGACAUUUCAUUUAAAUAAAAUCAUACAGUGGG
RNAcentral lists this long non-coding RNA (2723 nucleotides) under Homo sapiens (human). RNAcentral's name for it is "HSALNT0074881". The record is from RNAcentral. Lineage: Eukaryota; Metazoa; Chordata; Mammalia; Primates; Hominidae.